Molecule: long non-coding RNA, 2433 nt
Filed under: Pan troglodytes (chimpanzee)
Lineage: Eukaryota; Metazoa; Chordata; Mammalia; Primates; Hominidae
Description: lincRNA
Source: RNAcentral
UCCGCACGCUUUAUGCAGAUGAGGGAUGACGCAGGCACAGGCCUGAGCGUCGCACGCUUUGCGUAGAUGAGGGAUGGCGCAGGCGCAGGCCUGCGCGCCACGCGCUUUACGUAGAUGAGGGCUGGCGCAGGCGUAGAUGAGGGCUGGCGCAGGCGCAGGCCUGCGCGCCUCACGCUUUAUGUACAUGAGGGAUGACGCAGGCACAGGAAUUGGCACAACCUGAAGUCAGCUCUGCAGCUUUCCAAGCUUCGUUCUGUGUGUCCUGUACUCAACAGUCAUCUCAUGCUGCAGGGUGGCUGCGUGUGCUCCGUACAUCACACCCAUAUUUCAGGGAGAAGACUGCACAUAUAACGCAGCUCUGCAUGGAACACCUUCCUCCUGGAGGGGAGGCUUCCUAGAGGUGUGGCGUUGCCCUCCGUCUUGAACAGGCUGUGAGCCGUUUUGUCAUUUGGGGUUUCUAGAUGCAAAUAGCAGAAGCUGCUGGCCAAUUACCAAAGGGAACGUGCUGUUAGGAUAUCAGGGCCUGGGAGCUGCAGCAAUGUGGGCUGACAGCAGAGAGCUAAGGCACUUUCCGAGGUGAGGAGCUGGACUGCUAUGCUGGAGACAGCUGGGCAGAAGCAGUUAGCAGGGCAUUUCCUUGUGUCCUUAUCUCAAGAGUCACAGUUUCAGGAGUGAGCAUCUCAGAGGUCAGGGUUCAUUCACAUGCCACCUCCCUUCUCACUGUGUCAUUGGGGAGGGGCCUGUCUGGACCCUCUGGCUCCUGUGACAAGAAAUGGUCCCAUCAAGUCAUCCAAGGGCUUGGAAGCCUCCCAAGGAAAGCAGGAGGGGUGGGUGCUGAGCAGCAUCCAGCAGCAAAGGUAGGCUCCAGCCCUGCAGGUGUGGCUGCGCCAUCCCAGGGAACGUGCCCCAGCAAGUGCUGGUGCUGCUCUCAUUACAGGUGGCGCUUCCUCACCUCUUGCCCUCUGGACCCACGGCAGGCACUUUCCAGGGCACAUCACGUGGGCGUGCGGUCUGGCUGCUGGGUCCACGCGGGUUCUCAAUCAUGACCUGGCUUGUAAGCUCUUUCCACAGUCGGAUAAAUGAAGCCGUCGGGGAAGUAUCCGCAAACUCUUACAGUGAGUAUGUGAUAAUGACACACGUGUGGCCCUUCUAAGACCUCCGCUAGGCGUUAUCAGGGACUGUGCUCGUGAGCGCGGACCUCCGCUAGGCGUUAUCAGGGACUGUGCUCGUGAGCGCCGACCUCCGCUAGGCGUUAUCAGGGACUGUGCUCGUGAGCGCCGACCUCCACUAGGCGUUAUCAGGGACUGUGCUUGUGAGCGUGGACUUUCACCAGCCACGCUUCCGAGGAGUGGAGUCUUUCUCAGCUCUGCCUCUCCCAGGUGACCAUCUUGUGAAGACGAUGCGUUCUUUAUACACAAGUUCUGUGUGUGUGUGUUUGUGUUCCACACACAGGACCAAAGUUGAGAUAGGCGCACAUUUUCUUGGUCCCACUUGUGGCCCCAGUCGGCUGUCAGAAGUGGGUGUGCUCCACAUGUACCCACCAUGUCAGGGCACAGUGCUCACAUUUCACACCUCAGCAGGUGCCUUGAUGUUGACCAGAGGCCCCAAAAUCAUCUCUUUCUAUGACUUCUAGAUCUUAGAUUCCCAGGAACUGGGAAAUGCAGUUAGUAUCUUUUGGGUCCAAGAAACUUUGUCAGAGCCCUUGUGGGAGAACCAUAGAUUCUCACCAGAUAAACAGAAGAGCUUCGUGUUAGAGAGACUGCCUGUCUCCCCACAUUCUCAGUUUUCUGGAGAGCAGCUGAAAGCUAUCUGGGGUGGAGGUUGAGAGCUCCAACCGUGUAGCUGAUGUAUCGGGCAAGUUGCUUAAGCUCUUUAAUGCUGUUUCCUCAUUUAUUGUGUGAGGCCAAAAAUACCCAUUCCUUAAAGUUGUGAGGAUUAAAAACAGUAAUGAAAAGUGAGUGGCAAAUGCCGAGUACAUAGUCAAGUACCUGAUACUUUUUAGUGUAAGGUAAGUAGCAAGAAAGCUUGAAAUUUAUUUCCAUUUACUCUUACUACAUGCGGUAAACCAUCUAUGCACAGAGCACUGCAUUGGGUGCCAUGAAUGACAGAAUAAGAGUAACAGGUGCAUGAACAGCUUAAAAGACAGAUGAGACAGAGCUAGGCUGCAGAAGACUUAAAAACUUCAUGUAUAUAACUUUUAAUGGACACACUGUACGUGUUUAUGGGGUACGAUUUGUUGUUUCCAUGCAUAUCUGUGUUGUGUAAUGAUCCAAUCAGGGUAGUGUGUGUGCCCAUUUCCUCAAGGGUGGAUCAUUAUGCGUAUCAUCGUGCUUCAUCAUGUAUCAUGCAUGUACCAUCAUCAUGCAUCAUUGUGCAUCAUCAUGCCUGUAUCAUUAUGUAUCAUCUCAUGCAUAUAUUAUAAUGUAUCACCUC